Molecule: ribosomal RNA, 324 nt
Filed under: uncultured eukaryote
Lineage: Eukaryota
Description: partial 18S ribosomal RNA
Rfam family: Eukaryotic small subunit ribosomal RNA
Source: RNAcentral
CCCUUAGAUGCUCGGGGCCGCACGCGCGCUACACUGGUCGAUGCAACGAGUUUCUUUCCUUGGCCGACAGGCCUGGGCAAUCUUUGAACAUCGAUCGUGAUCGGGAUAGAUUCUUGUAAUUUUUGAUCUUAAACGAGGAAUUCCUAGUAAACGCAAGUCAUCAGCUUGCAUUGAUUACGUCCCUGCCCUUUGUACACACCGCCCGUCGCACCUACCGAUUGAAUGGUCCGGUGAAAUCUCCGGACUGGCGUGAGUCGGAGCAAUCUGACAAACGCCGGAAAGUUGAUUAAACCUUACCAUUUAGAGGAAGGUGAAGUCGUAACA